GGAUGUGAAGGUGAUCUGGCUGCGACAUCUGUCACCCCAUUGAUCGCCAGGGUUGAUUCAGCUGAUCUGGCUGGCUAGGUGGGUGUCCCCUUCCUCCCUCACCACUCCAUGUGCGUCCCUCCCGAAGCUGCAUGCUCGGUUGAAGAGGACCACCUUCCCUGACAGAAGGACCAUCCUUCGGUCAAGGGCAUAUGAGUAGCUGCACUCCCCUGCUAGAACCUCCAAACAAAUCUCAAGAGAACCCCAGCUGAACUAUGGGGAGCACUCCUUAGAGAGAAAGUCAGCAAAGACUACCAAGAAGAAACAGGCAACAGGGU
Molecule: small nuclear RNA, 317 nt
Filed under: Echinops telfairi (small Madagascar hedgehog)
Lineage: Eukaryota; Metazoa; Chordata; Mammalia; Afrosoricida; Tenrecidae
Description: 7SK RNA (ENSETEG00000020918.1)
Rfam family: 7SK RNA
About the family: 7SK was discovered as an abundant small nuclear RNA in the mid-70s but a possible function has only recently been suggested. Two independent studies have found that 7SK RNA binds the CDK9/cyclin T complex (known as elongation factor P-TEFb). P-TEFb activates transcription by phosphorylating the C-terminal domain of RNA polymerase II.
Source: RNAcentral